RNAcentral lists this small nuclear RNA (100 nucleotides) under Mustela putorius furo (domestic ferret). The record is from RNAcentral. Lineage: Eukaryota; Metazoa; Chordata; Mammalia; Carnivora; Mustelidae.
UUGCUUUGGCAGCACACAGACUAAAAUUGGAACAAGACAAAGAAGAGCAUGGCCCCUGCACAAGGAUGACACCCAAAUUCAUGAAGCAGUCCAUAUUUAA